GAGUUUGAUCGUGGCUCAGAUUGAACGCUGGCGGCAUGCUUUACACAUGCAAGUCGAACGGCAGCACGGGGGCAACCCUGGUGGCGAGUGGCGAACGGGUGAGUAAUGCAUCGGAACGUGCCCAGUAGUGGGGGAUAACACAUCGAAAGAUGUGCUAAUACCGCAUACGCACUACGGUGGAAAGCGGGGGAUCGUAAGACCUCGCGCUAUUGGAGCGGCCGAUGUCCGAUUAGCUAGUUGGUGGGGUAAUGGCCUACCAAGGCAACGAUCGGUAGCUGGUCUGAGAGGAUGAUCAGCCACACUGGGACUGAGACACGGCCCAGACUCCUACGGGAGGCAGCAGUGGGGAAUUUUGGACAAUGGGCGCAAGCCUGAUCCAGCCAUGCCGCGUGAGUGAAGAAGGCCUUCGGGUU
Molecule: ribosomal RNA, 413 nt
Filed under: uncultured beta proteobacterium
Lineage: Bacteria; Pseudomonadati; Pseudomonadota; Betaproteobacteria
Description: bacterial SSU rRNA
Rfam family: Bacterial small subunit ribosomal RNA
Source: RNAcentral